This 879-nucleotide ribosomal RNA is filed under the name uncultured archaeon. Its description in RNAcentral is "bacterial SSU rRNA". It matches the Rfam family "Archaeal small subunit ribosomal RNA", at positions 442 to 1319 of the family's 1478-position model. The record is from RNAcentral.
CUGGGCAAGACCGGUGCCAGCCGCCGCGGUAACACCGGCAGCCCGAGUGGUGAUCACUAUUAUUGGGUCUAAAGGGUCCGUAGCCGGUUUAAUCAGUCUUCUGGGAAAUCUAAUCGCUUAACUAUUAGGCUUCCAGGGGAUACUGUUAGACUUGGGACCGGGAGAGGUAAGAGGUACUGCAGGGGUAGGAGUGAAAUCUUGUAAUCCCUGUGAGACCACCAGUGGCGAAGGCGUCUUACCAGAACGGGUCCGACGGUGAGGGACGAAAGCUGGGGGCACGAACCGGAUUAGAUACCCGGGUAGUCCCAGCUGUAAACGAUGCUCGUUAGGUGUCAGGAACGGUGCGACUGUUUCUGGUGCCGAAGGGAAGCCGUGAAACGAGCCACCUGGGAAGUACGGCCGCAAGGCUGAAACUUAAAGGAAUUGGCGGGGGAGCACUACAACGGGUGGAGCCUGCGGUUUAAUUGGACUCAACGCCGGAAAACUCACCGGGGGCGACAGCAAUAUGUAGGUCAGGUUAAAGGUCUUACCUGAAUCGCUGAGAGGAGGUGCAUGGCCGUCGUCAGUUCGUACUGUGAAGCAUCCUGUUAAGUCAGGCAACGAGCAAGACCCGUGCCCACUGUUACCAGCAUAUCCUUUAUGGAUGAUGGGGACUCUGUGGGGACCGCUGCUGCUAAAGCAGAGGAAGGUGCGGGCUACGGUAGGUCAGUAUGCCCCGAAUCUCCCGGGCUACACGCGGGCUACAAUGGUUGGGACAAUGGGUAUCUACUCCGAAAGGAGUUGGCAAUCUCUUAAACCCAAUCGUAGUUCGAAUUGAGGGCUGUAACUCGCCCUCAUGAAGCUGGAAUCCGUAGUAAUCGCGUUUCAACAUAGCGCGGU